GACGAACGCUGGCGGCGCGCUUAACACAUGCAAGUCGAACGGAAAGGCCCUGCUUUUGUGGGGUGCUCGAGUGGCGAACGGGUGAGUAACACGUGAGUAACCUGCCCUUGACUUUGGGAUAACUUCAGGAAACUGGGGCUAAAACCGGAUAGGAGCUCCUGCUGCAUGGUGGGGGUUGGAAAGUUUCGGCGGUUGGGGAUGGACUCGCGGCUUAUCAGCUUGUUGGUGGGGUAGUGGCUUACCAAGGCUUUGACGGGUAGCCGGCCUGAGAGGGUGACCGGCCACAUUGGGACUGAGAUACGGCCCAGACUCCUACGGGAGGCAGCAGUGGGGAAUAUUGCACAAUGGGCGGAAGCCUGAUGCAGCAACGCCGCGUGCGGGAUGACGGCCUUCGGGUUGUAAACCGCUUUCGCCUGUGACGAAGCGUGAGUGACGGUAAUGGGUAAAGAAGCACCGGCUAACUACGUG
RNAcentral lists this ribosomal RNA (468 nucleotides) under uncultured bacterium. RNAcentral describes it as "partial 16S ribosomal RNA". It matches the Rfam family "Bacterial small subunit ribosomal RNA", at positions 28 to 507 of the family's 1533-position model. The record is from RNAcentral.